This 835-nucleotide non-coding RNA is filed under the name Euastacus armatus (Murray cray). Lineage: Eukaryota; Metazoa; Arthropoda; Malacostraca; Decapoda; Parastacidae. The record is from RNAcentral.
AAAAAGUUUGAUUCUUGCUUGGAUUUUUGCUUUAUAAUUGUAGAGUACAUGUAAAUUUUAAUGGGAAAGGUGGUAAAGGGCUAAAAGUCUCUUACUAAGAUAGAAAGUUAUUACUUUAAGGUAUUGAUUCGCAGUACAAGAUAUUAUUUGUUUAGUUGGGGCUUGAUAACAGCAAAUUAUAUGGAAAUCUGAUAAAAUUUUGUGCCAGCAGUCGCGGUUAGACUUGGAGGUUAAGUAGAAAUAUUUUGGUUUAAGUUAUUUGAAGAAUUAUUUUUAAUUUAGAUUUAUGGUGGAUAAAAGGUGAAAUUGAGUUAUUGUAAUAUGAAUUUGAGUUGAUUUAAGAGUUAUUGGAGGCUUAUAAAGUUGAGGGAUGGACUAGGAUUAGAUACCCUAUUACACUUAAUAGAGAAAAUUUAAGUACCUGAGUAUUAAGAGUUAUGUUCUUUAAAUUCAGAGAAUUUGGCGGUAUUUUAGUCUUGUUAGAGGAACCUGUUUUAUAAGUGAUACUACACGUAAUAUCUUGCUAAUUUUUGUUUAACAGUUUGUAUACCGUCAUUAUUAGAUAACUUUUAUAGAAUUAGUUAUUGUAAUUAAGGAUUUAAGUAUAUUAGAUCAAGGUGCAGCUUAUAAGUUAGAAGAAAUGGGUUACAAUAAAAUUUAUUUAGAAUGGAUCAGUGUUAAAAUUAGUAUUGUGAAGGCGGAUUUAAUUGUAAUUAAAAUUUAAUAAGUUUUUAUGAUAAGAGUACUAAAUUAUGUACAUAUUGCCCGUCGCUUCCAUUUAAGGUGGAAUAAGUCGUAACAUAGUAGGUGUACUGGAAAGUGUACCUGGAAGUAA